RNAcentral lists this long non-coding RNA (424 nucleotides) under Mustela putorius furo (domestic ferret). RNAcentral describes it as "lncRNA (ENSMPUG00000026902.1)". The record is from RNAcentral. Lineage: Eukaryota; Metazoa; Chordata; Mammalia; Carnivora; Mustelidae.
GCGGGGAGCCUGCUUCCUCCUCUCUCUCUCUCUGCCUACUUGUGAUCUCUCUCUCUGUCAAACAAAUAAAUAAAAUCUUUAAAAAAAAAAAAAAAAGAAACCAAGUUAUACCAAGUCUUCCCCUCUACCUUCAGGGAGUACUACAGAAUGCUGUUCUCAGAUGCUGUUUUCCUUGCUCCAGAGACAGCCUUGAUGAUCUUUGUCACUCUUCAAGCCAGCAAAGCAUUCCUGUCUUGACAAUAGCAAGGUCUCCAGGAUCCGGAGGGUCUUCUAUAGCACAAGAAAGUCCUUUCCAACACCUCCCUUUUUCCGUCCCUCCCUCAACUCAGAAGUAUAUGGUCAGCAAUGCCUCACAGUGCUAGUGCAGCAGCUCGCUCUGCCCAAGGUUGCGGUCCUUAUGCUUUAAUAAAACCUCCUUUUUUUU